UGUUUUAAGGUUUGAUCCCAAUUCCUGGGC
This 30-nucleotide non-coding RNA is filed under the name Mus musculus (house mouse). Lineage: Eukaryota; Metazoa; Chordata; Mammalia; Rodentia; Muridae. The record is from RNAcentral.